AUUGGACGCUGGCGGCAGGCCUAACACAUGCAAGUCGAACGGUAACAGGAAACAGCUUGCUGUUUCGCUGACGAGUGGCGGACGGGUGAGUAAUGUCUGGGAAACUGCCUGAUGGAGGGGGAUAACUACUGGAAACGGUAGCUAAUACCGCAUAACGUCGCAAGACCAAAGAGGGGGACCUUCGGGCCUCUUGCCAUCGGAUGUGCCCAGAUGGGAUUAGCUAGUAGGUGGGGUAACGGCUCACCUAGGCGACGAUCCCUAGCUGGUCUGAGAGGAUGACCAGCCACACUGGAACUGAGACACGGUCCAGACUCCUACGGGAGGCAGCAGUGGGGAAUAUUGCACAAUGGGCGCAAGCCUGAUGCAGCCAUGCCGCGUGUAUGAAGAAGGCCUUCGGGUUGUAAAGUACUUUCAGCGGGGAGGAAGGGAGUAAAGUUAAUACCUUUACUCAUUGACGUUACCCGCAGAAGAAGCACCGGCUAACUCCGUG
This 490-nucleotide ribosomal RNA is filed under the name uncultured bacterium. RNAcentral's name for it is "partial 16S ribosomal RNA". It matches the Rfam family "Bacterial small subunit ribosomal RNA", at positions 30 to 507 of the family's 1533-position model. The record is from RNAcentral.